This is a long non-coding RNA of Triticum aestivum (bread wheat), 1538 nucleotides long. RefSeq lists it as uncharacterized. The transcript is spliced from 5 exons. The record is from RefSeq and is a predicted model, not a curated record. NCBI's taxonomy places the organism in Eukaryota, Viridiplantae, Streptophyta, Magnoliopsida, Poales, Poaceae.
GUCCAGUCCACGAGUGAAGAAAGAAGAAGGAAGGAGUAUUAUUUGGUGGGCUGGGCUGGGCUACCGGGUGACUGCACAUGGGACCUGGGUGGGCUUCGGGCUAAUCUAAUGGACCGUCCUCGUUGAUUCCAUUCCUCCACCCGGCUCGGCGGCGACCGGAAUACUCCACGGCGCUCCCAGGCGGCGGCUUUCCCCUCCCUCACCGCUCACCCUCGGCCACUCCCUAUUCCUCUCCGCCCCUGCCCGCUCCGGCUCUCGCUGCCGCUGCCGCGGGGCGCCGCUAAGGGCACCCGAUAUAGGCGGAGGCGGCUGGCGAAUGGCCCGGUUCGCUAGGGCGUCCAAGGAUUCUGGGAAGCUUGAGAUGCUCCCGUCAAUCCAGCUUCGGGCACUGCGACUGCAAGAUCUACGGCUUCAACGACGACGUGGUGUCCGAUUUCGAUUUCGGAUGGAGACAAACAUGCGAGGUUCAUCAGAGCAUGGUUUUCUUCAGGAGUUCACUUCUCUCCCACCGUUUUAGUCGGCGUGUCUCUGAUACUAUUGGGACGUAAUUGAUGCAUUUUAUUUUGGAGAUGGAUAUGUUAGUGCCGAGCUACAAAACCUACUGUUGUUGUAGGCUUCCAGCUUCAGCGUGUUGAUAAUGGACACCACAAUCAUCAUAACAUCAGCCAUUCAGCAUGAAUUUACUUGUUGUAGGCUUCCAGCUUCAGCGUGUCGAUAAUGGACACCACAAUCAUCAUAACAUCAGCCAUUGGGCAUUAAUUUACUUGUUGUAGGCUUCCAGCUUCAGCAUGUCGAAAAAGGACACCACAAUCAUCAUAACAUUGACAACCUUAUCUACCGCUUUUCAUGAAUUUGGACAUGCUCUUGCAGCUGCAAGGUAUAUAUCUUAUCCGCCCGGACAUGCUCCUUUUUGGUUACAAUGUUGAGAUGCUCAUUUCUGAAUAUUCAACAGCGAGGGCGUGUCCAGAUGGAAUAUGUUGCAGUAUUCAUAGCUGGACCUUUUCCUAGGGCUUUAGUUGCUCUGAACUAUGACCAGCUGCAGAAUCUAACGUUUUUCUCAAUGCUUCGGAUUUAUUGUGCGGGGAUUUGGCAUAAUGUUAUGCUAUAGCGGCAGUCUUCAUCAGGUACCAUGAAGAUUGUCUUCGUCAGGGAAGACCCAAUCCAAUCCACCUCCACGCCUCAACAGCGCAGCGACCGCAUGCCACAGCUCCCGCGUCCCGCACCGCCGGCUAGCAGCGCCUGCCGCACCCUUGUGUCAGGUUGCAAGAUGGACGGGUCAUCCCGCCGCUCCGCCGUCAAACAAAAACCCGCAAAGCUGCCACAGGGCUGACUGCAUCAUCACAAACGGGUUCAAGCGGACACGCCGCAUUGUCCGGCGGGCGUCGCAACAUUCCGUGUAUGCUCCGUCCAAUGAAAAUACAGAGUAACUCGUACUACCAGCCUACUCUCUCCGAUCGGGAGAAUCCACAAGCAGCUAUCAAGCAAACUCUUCGUCACCGAUUCAACGAUUCAACUUGAUUGCAUGGAGUUAAACCGUA